GUAAGAGUAAAGAAGGGAUGAUUCAUCAGAGGUAGAAGAAGAGGACAAAGAUUGGAGCUGAGCAUUGUACCAAUCGUGAUGGGUAGCAAAAGAAGAAGGUAUUUGGUGAUUUUUCAUGUGAACAAUGUAAACUUUCUUGGCUAAACAUGGCUGAAGAACAAGGAGAACAACAAUGACGGAGAAACAGAGGAAAGAACCCAUUUGGAAAAAUGGGAGAUGAUUUUAAUGGUGUUUUUGUUUAUAGGGAAAUAUCUCAGUGAGGAAAAAGAGAAAGGAAGAAUGGAAAGGAGGAGACAGUCGCCGUGAGAUGCGACUGACAGAAGAA
This 325-nucleotide long non-coding RNA is filed under the name Nicotiana tabacum (common tobacco). RNAcentral describes it as "long non-coding RNA (NTAB_LNC017334)". Lineage: Eukaryota; Viridiplantae; Streptophyta; Magnoliopsida; Solanales; Solanaceae. The record is from RNAcentral.